This 282-nucleotide long non-coding RNA is filed under the name Ananas comosus (pineapple). Its description in RNAcentral is "long non-coding RNA (ACOM_LNC010950)". The record is from RNAcentral. Lineage: Eukaryota; Viridiplantae; Streptophyta; Magnoliopsida; Poales; Bromeliaceae.
CAUAUUGUCUCCAAAUUUUAAUUUGUUAUAAUUUUGACUCGAAUUCUUAAUUAUUUCAAUUAUGUCCUAUAAUUUAAUUAAGUUGACUAGAUAUUAAUAUAUCGCUAAUGUAGCAAUAUUGUGGCAUGUGACGUGUUUACUUUUUAUAUCAGUAAUGCGUAAUUUUUUAUCAACUAAGUUGGGUUACGAGACUGCGUUGUUAUAAUUCUAAAAUUUCGAGCCAAAAAUUAUAAUAAACUAAAGCUGGAGGACCGAAGCGUCAGGUGCCUCGUAGUUUGAGGA